RNAcentral lists this transfer RNA (73 nucleotides) under Rosa chinensis. RNAcentral describes it as "tRNA RchiOBHm_Chr1g0322911". The stretch from base 5 to 68 matches the Rfam family "tRNA", at positions 5 to 66 of the family's 71-position model. From Rfam's summary of the family: Transfer RNA (tRNA) molecules are approximately 80 nucleotides in length. Their secondary structure includes four short double-helical elements and three loops (D, anti-codon, and T loops). The record is from RNAcentral. Lineage: Eukaryota; Viridiplantae; Streptophyta; Magnoliopsida; Rosales; Rosaceae.
UUUGUUGUAGUCUAAUUGGUUAGGAUAUUUGGCUCUCAUUCAAAAAGCCUGGGUUCAAAUCCCAGCAAGCAUG